UACGUAGGUGGCAAGCGUUAUCCGGAAUUAUUGGGCGUAAAGCGCGCGUAGGCGGUUUCUUAAGUCUGAUGUGAAAGCCCACGGCUCAACCGUGGAGGGUCAUUGGAAACUGGGAAACUUGAGUGCAGAAGAGGAGAGUGGAAUUCCAUGUGUAGCGGUGAAAUGCGCAGAGAUAUGGAGGAACACCAGUGGCGAAGGCGGCUCUCUGGUCUGUAACUGACGCUGAUGUGCGAAAGCGUGGGGAUCAAACAGG
RNAcentral lists this ribosomal RNA (253 nucleotides) under uncultured bacterium. RNAcentral describes it as "partial 16S ribosomal RNA". It matches the Rfam family "Bacterial small subunit ribosomal RNA", at positions 524 to 776 of the family's 1533-position model. The record is from RNAcentral.